UUUUCCUUCAUUAGAUUGAUGUUCAGUUGUGUAUCUAAUUCUAUUUAAAUUAGAUCUUGCAAUGAUGGAUAUAAUAUGUUUUCUUUUUUAUUGGAUGUUGGAUAUAAAACUUCUGUAGCUCCUAAGAAGUUUUAAAUGGUAGGUGAUCAUUCUGCACUACUUACUGGAUAUAAUACGUAUGGUUCACUUGAGUUUUGAAUCUAUCUCAUUUUUUUAGGUCAUGUCCUAAAAUGAUUUGGCAAAGAAAAUGGACGGGGUGAAUUUCUCAUCAACAUUACAACGGCCCCACCUAGCUCUCAUGGCAAGAAGUUCAUGGGAAAGAUUUCCGAAGAAAAGUCUGGUGGGUUUGUCACUUGUGAGAGCCACUGAGAUUGCCCUGCAAAUCUUUGGCAUCAAUUGAUCCCAACUUUAAAUUUCUAUAAGAAUUGCAACUUCUAAUUAGGAAAUUAGAGUUUCUAAAACAGUCCUUAAGAGCUCUUCUAUUUCAAAACACCGAUGCCAUUGAGGUUUGUAGUUGUUCACUAACACCCACACCGUUGACACAUGGUCACGAAUUAAAGUUUUCGUGUAUAGUUUUUCUAACAGUAUGUUGCUGUGUUUGCAUUGUCUACUUUGUGUAGUGUGACUUGCAUCCUAAUAUGGCCACGUAUAAUUAGAAUCCUUCCUAUCCUCAGUGCAAGCAUCUGUUUCAGUUUCUCAGUGUUCAUCGAUCACCAGAUGGAAGGGAUUUUCUUCAUCAUUGGCAUGGUGCUAAAUGCAGCUGCCCAGAACCUUUCCAUGCUCAUUAUAGGAAGGAUCUUCCUGGGGUAUGGAGUCGGCAUUAAUCAGGUUCAGCUGCACAAUAUCCGUUCCUCGGUAGUUCAGCUAAUUUGAAUCUGUAAAAACUAGUUGCUGGAAAUAGCAGUUAUGUUGAUGUUGAAUUCAUCGAUCCUGUGAUUAUGGCCGUUAGCAGAGGGAAGCUUCCACUGCCGAUGACGCACCAGAUCUCUCCCGACUACAACUUCAACAUGUUGGCUAAUUUCUCUGAGAUGGACCAGAGGCUUUAGUUGUUGCAGUCAAGAUCUAGUAAUCUGAAUUAGAAUCCAUUGAUGACAGUUGAUCAAAGCUUUAGUUGUUGAAUUCUUUUUUUUUUUACCCCAGAUUUCUAUUCCAAAUAGAAACUAAAAUUUCAAUUUGAAAAGUGGGUGUGAUUCUCAUAUUUUUCUCCAUGAGUUGUUACCUUAUGAGAACAAAAAUGCAAGCCAUUUGAUCAAUGGCCACUGAAUAUGCAUAGGUUUAUGAAUGUGUUAAAAUAAAUGAUUUAGCCUCGAUUAUUGAUAAAUGAUGUUAGAAAUUGA
Molecule: long non-coding RNA, 1337 nt
Organism: Magnolia sinica
Lineage: Eukaryota; Viridiplantae; Streptophyta; Magnoliopsida; Magnoliales; Magnoliaceae
Exons: 3
Source: RefSeq, a predicted model, not a curated record